Molecule: non-coding RNA, 25 nt
Filed under: Cricetulus griseus (Chinese hamster)
Lineage: Eukaryota; Metazoa; Chordata; Mammalia; Rodentia; Cricetidae
Source: RNAcentral
UCUUGGACCUUAGUCAUGGGGGCUC